RNAcentral lists this ribosomal RNA (376 nucleotides) under uncultured bacterium. Its description in RNAcentral is "bacterial SSU rRNA". It matches the Rfam family "Bacterial small subunit ribosomal RNA", at positions 524 to 898 of the family's 1533-position model. The record is from RNAcentral.
UACAGAGACUGCAAGCGUUAUUCGGAUUCACUGGGCGUAAAGGGUGCGCAGGUGGCCAAGUGUGUCAGGUGUGAAAUCCCGGGGCUCAACCCCGGAACUGCGCCUGAAACUGCUUGGCUAGAGCAUUGGAGAGGGAAGUGGAAUUCACGGUGUAGCAGUGAAAUGCGUAGAUAUCGUGAGGAACACCAGAGGCGAAGGCGACUUCCUGGACAAUUGCUGACACUCAGGCACGAAAGCGUGGGUAGCCAAAGGGAUUAGAUACCCCUGUAGUCCACGCCCUAAACGGUGCAUACUAGGUCUUGGAGGAUUCGACCCCUUCAGGGCCCAAGCUAACGCGUUAAGUAUGCCGCCUGAGGACUACGGCCGCAAGGCUAAA